UUGGAUUGAAUUUCCAGAUCUAAUCCUGGCCCUUGUUUGUUAUGACUUGUUUUAAUACAUUAUGCAGCGCAUUUGACUUUGGCCUAUGGUGGGAGCGCGCAUCUGGAGCGUGUGAUCUGCCAGCUCAAUUAAUGAGCUCAGAUCUAACGCUCCUGGUUUUUUGGAAUUUUUAUUUUUCUGAUUUAAUAUCUUUUAUUUCCAUUUAUUUCAAAAAUUCAUAACUCUUUCAUUUUAAU
Molecule: long non-coding RNA, 236 nt
Filed under: Lathyrus oleraceus (garden pea)
Lineage: Eukaryota; Viridiplantae; Streptophyta; Magnoliopsida; Fabales; Fabaceae
Description: Pisum sativum (pea) long non-coding RNA (PSAT_LNC026303)
Source: RNAcentral